This 475-nucleotide ribosomal RNA is filed under the name uncultured bacterium. RNAcentral's name for it is "bacterial SSU rRNA". It matches the Rfam family "Bacterial small subunit ribosomal RNA", at positions 37 to 507 of the family's 1533-position model. The record is from RNAcentral.
UGGCGGCAGGCCUAACACAUGCAAGUCGAGCGGUAGCAGAUCUAGCUUGCUAGAUGCUGACGAGCGGCGGACGGGUGAGUAACGCGUAGGAACCUGCCCAGUAGUGGGGGAUAGCCCGGGGAAACUCGGAUUAAUACCGCAUACGCUCUACGGAGGAAAGAGGGGGCUUCGGCUCUCGCUAUUGGAUGGGCCUGCGUGAGAUUAGCUAGUUGGUGAGGUAAUGGCUCACCAAGGCGACGAUCUCUAGCUGGUCUGAGAGGAUGAUCAGCCACACUGGGACUGAGACACGGCCCAGACUCCUACGGGAGGCAGCAGUGGGGAAUAUUGCACAAUGGGCGCAAGCCUGAUGCAGCCAUGCCGCGUGUGUGAAGAAGGCUUUCGGGUUGUAAAGCACUUUCAGUGGGGAGGAAGGCCUCGUAGUUAAUAGCUGCGAGGAUUGACGUUACCCACAGAAGAAGCACCGGCUAACUCCGUG